GGGCCCGCACAAGCGGUGGAGCAUGUGGUUUAAUUCGAUGAUACGCGAGGAACCUUACCAGGGCUUAAAUGUAAGUUGCAUGGAUCAGAGAUGAUCCUUUCUUCGGACUACUUACAAGGUGCUGCAUGGUUGUCGUCAGCUCGUGCCGUGAGGUGUCAGGUUAAGUCCUAUAACGAGCGCAACCCCUAUCGUUAGUUGCCAGCAAGUGAAGUUGGGUACUCUAGCGAGACUGCCGGUGCAAACCGAGAGGAAGGUGGGGAUGACGUCAAAUCAUCACGGCCCUUACGUCCUGGGCUACACACGUGCUACAAUGGCCGGUACAGAGAGCAGCCACUACGCGAGUAGGAGCGAAUCUUCAAAGCCGGUCUCAGUUCGGAUCGCAGUCUGCAACUCGACUGCGUGAAGCUGGAAUC
Molecule: ribosomal RNA, 413 nt
Filed under: uncultured bacterium
Lineage: Bacteria
Description: bacterial SSU rRNA
Rfam family: Bacterial small subunit ribosomal RNA
Source: RNAcentral